RNAcentral lists this ribosomal RNA (603 nucleotides) under Acidobacteriota bacterium. Its description in RNAcentral is "Acidobacteria bacterium partial 23S ribosomal RNA". It matches the Rfam family "Bacterial large subunit ribosomal RNA", at positions 1 to 586 of the family's 2925-position model. Lineage: Bacteria; Pseudomonadati; Acidobacteriota. The record is from RNAcentral.
GGUCAAGCUACUAAGGGCGUACGGUGGAUGCCUUGGCGCCAGGAGUCGAUGAAGGACGUGGCAAGCUGCGAUAAGCUUCGGUGAGCUGCAAACAAGCGUUGACCCGGAGAUUUCCGAAUGGGGAAACCCACCCAGGGUAAUGCCUGGGUAUCUGCGGCUGAAUACAUAGGCCGUUGAGGACAACGCAGGGAAGUGAACCAUCUCAGUACCUGCAGGAAAAGAAAACAAUAGUGAUUCCGCUAGUAGCGGCGAGCGAACGCGGAACAGCCCAAACCGACGUGCUUGCAUGUCGGGGUUGUAGGGCCUGUCCGGCCGCGAGGCCGGCGAGUCAAAAACCAGCCUUCUAGUCGAACGAUCUGGAACGAUCGGCCAGAGACGGUGACAGCCCGGUAGACGAAAGGGGGCUGGCUCGCUGGACAGGUUCCUGAGUAGCGCGGGACACGGGGAAUCCCGCGUGAACCUGGGAGGACCAUCUCCCAAGGCUAAAUACUCCCUGGCGACCGAUAGUGAACCAGUACCGUGAGGGAAAGGUGAAAAGAACCCCUGUUAGGGGAGUGAAAUAGUACCUGAAACCGUAUGCCUACAAGCAGUGGGAGGGCUAUG